GGGCCCCCGAGCUCCCCGCGGCGCUGCCGCGUCCUGCGGAGCGGAGCCCGGCCGGGGCGAGGGGCGACAAACCCCUGCGCCCCGCCGAGCCCACUCGUGGUGGGUGCCGCGAGGCAGCGGGAGCCCCAGCCUAGCGAGGGGCUUGUAGCAGGCACAGGCAAGGGGUGGAGGUGGUAGCUGUCUGAAGCAGCCAAGAUCUUCAGACGAUAUCGUUAGUUAUCAUCUUACCGUGCCAAAGUUUGCUGGACUCCGUGCAGCACAGAGCAAAAUGACAUAUUCCCUGCCCCAAGGAGUUUACAAUCUAAAGUGGAUCUGACAACACGAGGGUGUGACAGGACACCAUGAGUUUGCAGCAACAGGAUCAUGCUGUUGAGGACUUAACUUACUCCAGGACUACAGAUGAGAAAAAGCGACAGCUCUGCCAGAGGCUUCUUGGGAUGGCAGGAUGGAUCUGACAAUGCAAGGUGUGACAGAAUGCCACAAGGUUGCAGCAACAGAAUCCUGGGAUCCAGUGCCCAGACAAAGAGCAACUGUAAGUUUAUGGAGUUUUCUCCACUAAAGAAACAGAUGACAAAACAAGAUGUACUAACCAACCAACUAGAAGAUGGCUUUUUACAACUUGACUCUCCAGUUGAGUUUGGAAGCAUUCCCAAUGCAAAUAUGAUGGCCAGAGGCCAGAUGCACAGCUAAUCAAGAGAGGUGGGAAUCAGACUGUGGAAUGAAACAAGACAAAAAAAAAAAAGUAAAAUAUAUUGUGGAGUGAGUUCUUAAACACCAAAGGGUUUUUUUUUUUUAAUCACUGUGUUAAUUUCAGUGUUAUCAAAAUGCCUCAUUACAAUCUGGAUUUUUUUUAUAUAGAAAAUAAGAGGUUUAAUGAGACAUCCGGUUGUUAUAGUAGAAAACUGGAAAAACAAUGAACUCCAAAUGAAGCAUUCUGCUUUCAUUGAAUUAGCAUGUUUUGACAGAGAAAUGUUCAGUUAGAAAAUUCCCCAUCUUCUCUAAUAGCCACUGUACUGCUAAUCAUUUUCUCUUCCAUACUGUAAAAGCCAGAAGGCACAAUAUGGCUUCCUACUUAACAUGUCUCCUUUUUGCUGGAUCAGGCAACUUGGAAGUCUUUGCAUCAGUAAAUUAUAAACAAGCUACAAAAGCAGAACUUCUUUCAUUUCAUCUUAUCAAUUGAUUUCUACGUUAGCUGAGUAACUAUUGUGAGUCAAUCUGUCUGAACUUUUACAAGGUCAUCCAUUACAAAACUGUUACCCACGUCACUAACACAAUAGUAAAUUGAUGCAGAGGAAGAGGAGUUGCCUCAAGCGCUGGGCUUCCCCCAUGCAAUGAUUUUUGUAACAGUGAAUUGCCUGUGUAGGAGCAGCUAUCAAAAGGAAUUGCUUCCAGAAUGGUUUAGCUGUUCUACAACUAAUAUGUAUCUAUCCCUCUGCAGUUCUGGGUCAUUCCAGUAAAACCUGUUUAUAUAGGUAUAAACAGGUGAAACUCUGUUUAUAAAGGCAAGAGAACUCCCAUUAUCUGCAAGGCAUGAUGCAUUUAUCUUACCUCUGAAAUUAGUGGGAAUGGUGCAUAGAAAAUAUAUAAAAGCUCUGUUGCUUGGGAAAAAAAAAUAGUCAUGAAGAACAUAACUUGUUCAUUUGUAGGUAGAGCUCACAAAUGCAAAAAAAGAAACUAGCGCUGGAGAAUGGAGAUUGAGGGUCCAGUCCCCACCCGCUGAUGUCAUUGGCAAAUGUCCCAUUGAUGUUGGAGAGAGUACAGCCAGACACCAUCCAGCACACUUUGUAUCAUAUUUAACUUUUCCAACUGAAUGAGUAACAGUGAAUGGCUUGAGUCCCUGGUUUAGUCAGUUCUGAAGUAAUGUGCAAAAUUAGCCUGCUCCUCAUGCCUGUCCAUACGUAAUUAAAGAACAGCUACAUGAAAUUCAGUUUCAAUGAACAACUCUUUGGGGAUUGAAUCUACACAACCUACCUGGCUAAAUGGAUGAAUCUAGCUAUACAUCAUGACAGAAACCCUCGACUGCAGAUCUUUACAGAACUUCCUGCCAUUUAUAUCAGUGUGAGGUACAUACGUAUUACUGCGCUAAAGUACUUUGAAACUCUUUCAAAUCUUCCACUUGAACCAACAACUAAAGUUGCUCAUUGCCUGAAAGAGAACAGGGCCUUAAGUUUUCAAUUUUUAAAGAUACUGACCACAAGAAGACCUAGUUUGAAGUUUCUUUUUCAUAUUGUUUUCAUCUUCUCUGCUUGCCAUCUCUCACUUAAAUGAUAUUUUUGGCAAAUAACCAUUCACUCAAGAAACUUCCCAAAGCUGUUAAUAGAAAAUAUACUUACAACUAUCAGAGACCUCAAAUGCUUUGUUUUUCACCUUCCAUGAUAUUUCAAACUGAUCUUCAAUUAUAAAAUGAGACCAGCACCAAAAUAAAAUGUUUAUUAUGUUUCUAAGCCA
This 2448-nucleotide long non-coding RNA is filed under the name Apteryx rowi (Okarito brown kiwi). RNAcentral describes it as "lncRNA (ENSARWG00000012166.1)". The record is from RNAcentral. Lineage: Eukaryota; Metazoa; Chordata; Aves; Apterygiformes; Apterygidae.